This 300-nucleotide ribosomal RNA is filed under the name uncultured Lactobacillus sp. Its description in RNAcentral is "bacterial SSU rRNA". It matches the Rfam family "Bacterial small subunit ribosomal RNA", at positions 496 to 795 of the family's 1533-position model. The record is from RNAcentral. Lineage: Bacteria; Bacillati; Bacillota; Bacilli; Lactobacillales; Lactobacillaceae.
GCUAACUGUGGGCCAGCUGCGGAGGUAAUAGAGGGGGUGCGGUCGUUAAUCGGAGUUGCUGGGCGGAAAGCGUGCGUAGGCGGCGGAGUAAGUCGGAUGUGAAAUCCCUGAGCGUAACUUAUGAAUUGCAUGCGAUACUGGGCAGCUAGAGUAGGGGAGAGGAUGGGAGAAUUCCAGGUGUAGCGGUGAAAUGCGUAGAGAUCUGGAGGAAUACCGAUGGCGAAGGCAGCCAUCUUGCCUAAUACUGACGCUGAGGUACGAAAGCAUGGGGAGCAAACAGGAUUAGAUACCCUUGUAGUC